This 667-nucleotide ribosomal RNA is filed under the name Parasagitta elegans. Its description in RNAcentral is "12S ribosomal RNA". Lineage: Eukaryota; Metazoa; Chaetognatha; Sagittoidea; Aphragmophora; Sagittidae. The record is from RNAcentral.
UAACUCUUGUAAGCUAUACAAGCUAUUAAGUUCAUACCUUAAAAAAGGAAUCUUCCCUUGAGUUUUUGUUUUCCAUUAAACACCCUUGCCGCUAUAAAACCAUGGAUAAAGAUCCAGAUUUGGAAGUUUUGUACGACAGAAAAAGAUAACUAGUGAGGUUAAAUGCGUGCCAGCAACCGCGGAUAUACGCACUACGCGUGAUGAAAUAAAUUAAACGGACAAAUAAAAAUUAGAGGUAAUAUAAAUACAGAGCACAAACCAGAAAUAUGAAGGAGGCUAGAUAGCUCCGUAAUACAGUUAAACACUUUUGAGCAGUUAAAAACUUAGAAAACCCGGCAGAAGCUAAUUAAAAAGGCUCUUUGAAUUAUAGAUAACCCGCUAUGUUGCUACGUUACUCUAAUAGUGUAUUGCUGACACGGCACUCUUAUUGGAGGGCCGACUCUUCAAGCCUUAAUGCUUUUACUUAGUAUUUGUUUGAGAGACUCGGAUUUUGAAGUAAGUAUUAUACAGAAAUUUAUAUGCUUUGUACAUAUUGCCCGUCACCUCGCCCACUCAUGGGUGAGAAAGUCGACACACAGUAGGUGUAGUGGAAAUUGCACCUUGUGUUUGCAAAUAUUUAAUCCCUGUUCACCUCAGAUUAAAUACCGCUUAAUUAUUCCGCACUCUA